GACGAACGCUGGCGGCGUGCUUAACACAUGCAAGUCGAGCGGUAAGGCCCUUUCGGGGGUACACGAGCGGCGAACGGGUGAGUAACACGUGGGUGACCUGCCCUCAGCUCUGGGAUAAGCCUGGGAAACCGGGUCUAAUACUGGAUAUGACUCCAUGACGCAUGUUGUGGGGUGGAAAGCCUUGUGCGGCUGAGGAUGGGCCCGCGGCCUAUCAGCUUGUUGGUGGGGUGANGGCCUACCAAGGCGACGACGGGUAGCCGGCCUGAGAGGGCGACCGGCCACACUGGGACUGAGACACGGCCCAGACUCCUACGGGAGGCAGCAGUGGGGAAUCUUGCGCAAUGGGCGAAAGCUUGACGCAGCGACGCCGCGUGAGGGAUGACGG
RNAcentral lists this ribosomal RNA (385 nucleotides) under uncultured bacterium. RNAcentral's name for it is "bacterial SSU rRNA". It matches the Rfam family "Bacterial small subunit ribosomal RNA", at positions 28 to 414 of the family's 1533-position model. The record is from RNAcentral.